AAAAAUUCAACAACGGAUAUCUUGGUUUGGCAUCGAUGAAGAACGCAGCGAAAUGUGAUAAGUAAAUGAAAGCAGAAUUCAGUGAAUCAUUGAAUUUUUGAAAGCACCAUGGGCCCCUUAGUUUUUUAGGGGGCCAGCCUGUUCCAGGGUCCCUU
RNAcentral lists this ribosomal RNA (155 nucleotides) under Lasiodiplodia pseudotheobromae. RNAcentral describes it as "5.8S ribosomal RNA". It matches the Rfam family "5.8S ribosomal RNA". Rfam says of the family: 5.8S ribosomal RNA (5.8S rRNA) is a component of the large subunit of the eukaryotic ribosome. It is transcribed by RNA polymerase I as part of the 45S precursor that also contains 18S and 28S rRNA. Functionally, it is thought that 5.8S rRNA may be involved in ribosome translocation. Lineage: Eukaryota; Fungi; Ascomycota; Dothideomycetes; Botryosphaeriales; Botryosphaeriaceae. The record is from RNAcentral.